GCACUGCUGACGAGUCCCAAAUAAGAGGAAACAGCUGUCCACUGC
This 45-nucleotide non-coding RNA is filed under the name Echinostoma caproni. The record is from RNAcentral. Lineage: Eukaryota; Metazoa; Platyhelminthes; Trematoda; Plagiorchiida; Echinostomatidae.